Long non-coding RNA from Belonocnema kinseyi, 809 nucleotides. RefSeq lists it as uncharacterized. The transcript is spliced from 2 exons. The record is from RefSeq and is a predicted model, not a curated record. NCBI's taxonomy places the organism in Eukaryota, Metazoa, Arthropoda, Insecta, Hymenoptera, Cynipidae.
ACAUGCGCGAAAGAGAAUUGAUCUUCCAAUCAAUUUUCGGCCCUAAUGCUCGCAAUUGCGUAGUAAAUGCAGGGUUUUUAUUAAAAAAUAAAGUUUCACACGGAAAUGCGAAGUGUUUGUGAAUAAAAAUGGAAGGAGAUAAUACGAUGCCAAUGAUUGUGGAAAUAGAAAGUUGGAGCGCAUAAGAGCUGCUGCUGCGAAUUGUGCAAAAGUAGUAGUCGCAGUAGAGCUGCGUACGUCGAAUUGUGCAAUUUUUAUUCUAUUUCUUUCCCUAAACCAUGCCUACAAUUUAGAAAAGUAGAAAUUAAUAAUGCGAGUAUCAAAUUCCCCUUAAAACGCGUGAAGCGUGCAGGAAAUGCAAUAAAUGGGCGAAGUUGUGUGGACGUAAAGAUUCCAAGUUUAAAUCAAUCAGGAACGUUACAAAAGAUACAUAUAUUUGUUCUUUAAACUUCUAUGGAGAAUCUGGACCUACAGAAGAGCAUCUAGCCCAGAUGGAAUGUCAGCCGAAAACUAUAAAAAGACAGUAAAAAAAGGCUAGAAGGAGCUUGGAACAAAAGUACCAGCAUUUCUCAUUGAAGUCUGAGGAAUUUACUUCAAGUACAGGGAGCAGUUGUUUCUCUGGAGAAAGAAGAGCGGAGAAACAAAUUCAACUGAUGUCGAAUUCAAUAAAGUCGAAACAUUCUGUGAUCUUGAGCCAACUUUUUCUUCUGAGAUACACAGAAUGGACAUGGAAUCUCUCUUUAUCUGACUUUUGUCUCCCGUUCUAUUUCUAAUGUAAAUGAAUGGAGGAAUAAAACAAUCUUUCGUAA